Molecule: non-coding RNA, 29 nt
Filed under: Rattus norvegicus (Norway rat)
Lineage: Eukaryota; Metazoa; Chordata; Mammalia; Rodentia; Muridae
Source: RNAcentral
UGCUUAGCGUUCAUUAUUAAUAGUGAGCU